UUUUUCUAAAAAUAGAAUUAUAAAUACUGUAAAACAUGACCAUUUAAUACACUGGAAACUAAUGCAAUGAAUCUCAUGUUAAUAAAUUUCAUUAUGAAAUUGCAUAGACACUCUGAUUUAGACAGAUAUUUAUAUUCUUACCUUAUUUAUUUUGUAAAAAUGAAAUUUGUAGUUUUCUAACUUAAAAUUGUUAUGGUUUAACAACGGGCAACAUCGUUCUUAUAUAAUAUUAUCUGUGCUAUAUUUAGCAGCAUAUUUUUAAACAUAAAAUUCCCCCUAUACUAGUUUAAAAUUGUUAUGAAUAGCUUAAACUAAAAUUAAGUCGGGAAAAACCAACAUGUGGAUGAACCACCGGUUACGGAUGUAAUUAAUUCUGCUCACGUUUAAAUGAAUCAGUAUGCGUAGGAGCGGAUUAAUGUUUGCGACAUUACUCAGUCUUGACCAAAAACAUGAACAAAUGAAUUUUAUAGGUAGAUAAAAUUAUUUAUGUCAUUGUUGUACAUUUGGGCGAAUCUGUCACAUUCUGAAUUAUGUUAAUUUAUGUACUACGGUAAAAGCCAAUCAGGGGGAAUUCCUUUUAUCACGUGAUACCGUCAUCUUCCUUCUUCGUCAACAUUCAAGAGUGAAUAGCACGCUUCUUUCUUUAAUUUUAUUUUGGCUAAUUUCUGGUUUUAUCUUAAGUGAUUCGGCUGAAUUUUUAUGGUAAUCUAAUACACAACAUAUUUGUUAACAGUUACACUCUGGUUUACUGCAGUACAGAUUGGAUAUACUUGUAAAUUUCGAUGUUUUCCUGUACAGGUUACAUUCUACCAAUUCAAUUCCUUAUUUAUUUCAUAUUAAUAACAAAACAUUCAGACCUCAUUUUCAGCACUUUACAGCAUUUCAAUGAUAUGAAAACCAUAUAAUGGGCAUUUAGUAUAACAUGUCUUCUUAUCAAAAAUAGAAAAAUAUUGACAUGUUAUGUUGUAUAUAAGAAAAAUAAUCUGUUCUGACAAACAUCACCGUCUAAAAAUGCCCCCAUGAAAACAGCCGUUUAGCAAUUACGCGUAGUUAGACAUUUUUCGCAAAGAAUAAAACUUAUUCCAAGAAAUUUACAAUGAAAAUGGUCUAGAUCUAUUCUCAAUACUAUAAGCAAUAAACAUAAGCCAAAAAUUUAACUGUCACCUCCUCAUGUUACUCAUUAUACCAGAUUUCAUUCAUAGCAUGGAACUACAUUUUGGACUACUUCACACGUAACACUGAGUAGUCACUUCCGGUUUGGUGUAAUCCGUCCUACACGGCGUUGGCCUGUAAACUUCGUUAAAUAAUUCAGAAUCAGGGGUGAUAUAGUACGUCAUUAACAGGUGCGCGCAUCACUUCCCGAUACGGCUUUUUUGUGUCAAAACAUCUCGAUUCGGUACAUGAAAGAUGAAAAAGGAAACAAAACUUCUAGUGUCAAUUAUGUUAAAAAGGCUUGCUGAGUGAUUGGCAUGACAGACAUAAAUGACGCAUUAUUUUCGAAAAGUUGUACGACAUAACACUGAGAAGUGGAGAACAUCCUGUAACAGAAUUGCCACAGCGUGGAUUUCUACGCUCAACUCAGAGGUCCUGUACCAUACAAGACUAUGUCGGUUGCUGUUUGAAGGGGCCACGUGUUCAUUACAGUUGCUCGGGAAAAAUGCGAAAUGACUGUAUCGCGCCAACGAAAUUUUCGUAUCAAAGGGUUUCAGAUGUGCACAGGGAAAGAACAAAAAGGACAUAAACCGAAUAAUAAUUACCACUUAGUAGAACGGGACAUCGAUUGAAUCUACACGAUUUAAUAUUGACUAAUGUUCAGAUUUUUGCUGGCAAAUUUUAACGCAUAAAACUCGUAGUGAGCUUGAACAGUGGUAGAACAAUUUUACUUGCAAUGUAAAUUAUUUUACUUUUCUUUAACUAUUUAGUUGUUGAAAAUGUUGUUGUAUAAAAGAUUACUCAAAUUGGAAAUUUUGCUGAUUUUUUUAUUCAAACCCUUACACAGUUGAAGCCGUUGUGACACCGUGUUUGAAACAUACGCUCAUACACUUCCAAGUCAUAGCAAUAUUUCAUUUCCCUUGUUAUCAGCUUAUGUUAUAUAUUUACAAAAAUCAAGGAAAGAAGAUUUGUUACAUAAACAUUGUACACACUGUUACAAGUAUAAAAAUAACCUAUCAUGAACCUUGGACGUAAUUCUUUAUAAACUCAACAUUUAAAAAAAUGAAAUUCACCUUAAGUUUUAUUAAGAUCGCAUAUCUGACAAAUUCGUUCCACAUUGUUGGUGGAUUUCAAUGAA
Long non-coding RNA from Mercenaria mercenaria, 2290 nucleotides. RefSeq lists it as uncharacterized. NCBI's taxonomy places the organism in Eukaryota, Metazoa, Mollusca, Bivalvia, Venerida, Veneridae. The record is from RefSeq and is a predicted model, not a curated record. The transcript has 3 exons.